Molecule: non-coding RNA, 154 nt
Filed under: Kushneria marisflavi
Lineage: Bacteria; Pseudomonadati; Pseudomonadota; Gammaproteobacteria; Oceanospirillales; Halomonadaceae
Description: TPP sequence
Rfam family: TPP riboswitch aptamer (THI element)
About the family: Vitamin B(1) in its active form thiamin pyrophosphate (TPP) is an essential coenzyme that is synthesised by coupling of pyrimidine and thiazole moieties in bacteria. The previously detected thiamin-regulatory element, thi box was extended, resulting in a new, highly conserved RNA secondary structure, the THI element, which is widely distributed in eubacteria and also occurs in some archaea.
Source: Rfam by way of RNAcentral
GUCUGCUUGACGGGGUGCCGGUGAAUUCCGGCUGAGAUAGCGCAGGACGUGCUCUUUUGAGAGUGCCAAGCGCUGGUCCCGCUGAACCUGAUCCGGCUAAUGCGCUGUUUGGAAAAGCGCGGGUACCGGCGUAGGGAUCAAGCGAUGGCGCCGG